Molecule: ribosomal RNA, 452 nt
Filed under: uncultured bacterium
Lineage: Bacteria
Description: bacterial SSU rRNA
Rfam family: Bacterial small subunit ribosomal RNA
Source: RNAcentral
AACGAACGCUGGCGGCAUGCCUAACACAUGCAAGUCGAACGAGACCUUCGGGUCUAGUGGCGCACGGGUGCGUAACGCGUGGGAAUCUGCCCUUGGGUUCGGAAUAACAGCGAGAAAUUGCUGCUAAUACCGGAUGAUGACGUAAGUCCAAAGAUUUAUCGCCCAAGGAUGAGCCCGCGUAGGAUUAGCUAGUUGGUGAGGUAAAGGCUCACCAAGGCGACGAUCCUUAGCUGGUCUGAGUGGAUGAUCAGCCACACUGGGACUGAGACACGGCCCAGACUCCUACGGGAGGCAGCAGUGGGGAAUAUUGGACAAUGGGCGAAAGCCUGAUCCAGCAAUGCCGCGUGAGUGAUGAAGGCCUUAGGGUUGUAAAGCUCUUUUUACCCGGGGAUGAUAAUGACAGUACCGGGAGAAUAAGCUCCGGCUAACUCCGUGCCAGCAGCCGCGGUAAU